GACGAACGCUGGCGGCGUGCUUAACACAUGCAAGUCGAACGGAAAGGCCCUGCUUUUGUGGGGUGCUCGAGUGGCGAACGGGUGAGUAACACGUGAGUAACCUGCCCUUGACUUUGGGAUAACUUCAGGAAACUGGGGCUAAUACCGGAUAGGAGCUCCUGCUGCAUGGUGGGGGUUGGAAAGUUUCGGCGGUGGGGGAUGGACUCGCGGCUUAUGAGCUUGUUGGUGGGGUAGUGGCUUACCAAGGCUUUGACGGGUAGGCGGCAUGAGAGGGUGGCCGGCCACAUUGGGACUGAGAUACGGCGCAGACGGCUACGGGAGGCAGCAGUGGGGAAUAUUGCACAAUGGGCGGAAGCCUGAGGCAGCAACGCCGCGUGCGGGAUGACGGCCUUCGGGUUGUAAACAGCUGUCGCCUGUGACGAAGCGGGAGUGACGGUAAUGGGUAAAGAAGCACCGGCUAACUACGUG
Molecule: ribosomal RNA, 468 nt
Filed under: uncultured bacterium
Lineage: Bacteria
Description: partial 16S ribosomal RNA
Rfam family: Bacterial small subunit ribosomal RNA
Source: RNAcentral